GUUGUCAACCUAAAAAUGAGCGUCUUUAACCUCUACUAAUUGAAAUCAAUGAGAUAAAAUUAUGUUUUAACAGUGUAAUUAAUAAAUUACUAAUUAUUAAUAUUAGUUGAAAUACACAAUGUUUAUAACUUAAUAGAAGAAUCCAACCCAACUUAUUGAAUAAUAACUAGAGCUCAAGAGAAUUCACAGGAUUAUAAAGCGAGUUACAAGGAUGAUCAUCAACUCUGAUCCUUCAUUGAAAGAUGAUAUGUAUUACAACAAAAUCCAAACACAAGAAACAUUAGGGCGAUUAACUCAUUGAAAAUGUCAUAAAGACAACCUUAUUAAUGAAGAUUUCAAAAGGAGUACUGGAAGAAUUUUAGAUGAAUAUUGAAAAUUUAAAUAAAAAUCAUCUAUAUGAUAUUGCAAUUAACAGUUUUGAUACAACAGCUAUCAAUAUUUGUAAUGAAACACAUCUUUAGUAUUAUUAUCAAAUUUUUUUUUCAUGUUAUAUGAAAAUAAGUGAGGUUAUGUUACAAUAUAGGUUAUGUUUUCAAAACGCACCAAAUUUUCAGUGAUAUGAAGGCGACUCGCGAUCUUUUUUAAAUUAAAAUGAAAAAAGAAGUGGUUGCUAAAAUGAAUAUGAUUUCGAUGAAUAGAUUCCAGCCAAAGAAAUAACUAAAAAGAGCGUUAGGAAAGAUUUUGACUUUUUUAGGUUGGAAACAAGGACGGUAGAAUAAGAGGACUGCUACAUCUGGAAAACAAGUGCAUAGUUUGACGACUCGUUCGUGACGUCAGAUAUGAGGAGGUAACUAUUAUUUCACCCUUUGGCCUUUGAAUUAGGAAAUGCUUAACAGCAGGGCCACCCUAACCUAAGGGAUAAAAGGACUAUAGCCCUAGAGCGCCAGCUCUUUAGGGGCGCCUUAAUUUUUGAAUUUUUUUUUUGUAGUUUUUAUUUUGUAAGCUUGAAAUUUGUCAUGACGCCACGACACGACGCGACGUCGCGCCGAAUCGCCAAUGCACCGGUUUUACGUUUCUACAUGCCACAUUUGGCAUCUUAUCUGGACAAACACUUAUUUAUUUCUACAUAAAACUCUUAAAAAAAGUUUUUAUGUCGUUUACUGGUCCCAGGGAAUUUGUUCCGGAUUUCCCAGUCUGUGAUUGGGCCACAAAACACCCGCAUAUUUGUCAAUCGAUUUAGAGAAAAUAGUGAAUAUUUCAAAAAUUAUUCAAUUAUGUCACUAAAAAAAAGUACUAAUUAUUGGAAAAAUAAUUUAAAGCGAAUUAAAUGUUACAUGGAUUCAAUUCACUGGAAACUGGCAUUAUGGUAGCAUUUUGGAGCUAGAUGUUAGAAAUUAUAGAUAAAACUAAUACAUAUCUCAAAAAGUUGAUAUUACACUUGAAACCAUUCUUAGAUUAUACGAUUCUUUACAAAAGUUUGUACAGUCAAAACGAAAUGCAGAGUCAUUUCAGUUUUACAAAUCUGAAGGGAUUUAAUUGUCUCAAUAAUAAAUUCAUAUACAUAUUUAUAUAAUAAAUAGGGCAACCAAAACUAUUCUCCAAAAAUACUAGUUUUUAGUGCUUAAUAUAUAUUCUAUGAAAAUCAAAAUAUAUUUUUAAGUAUGAAAGUAUGCUCAAUAAAAAACUGGAAUUAAAUAUUAAAAUAUCUUUUAAAUCUGUAGGUGAGGUUAAACAAAGUAAUUGAAAAAUGAUAUCUACUUCUAUACACGAGAUGUUUAUUAGUUCGACUUAUAAAAACUAAAAAAGAAUAAGAAAAUAUUGAAGAAAACACAAAAGACAAA
Molecule: non-coding RNA, 1781 nt
Organism: Onthophagus taurus
Lineage: Eukaryota; Metazoa; Arthropoda; Insecta; Coleoptera; Scarabaeidae
Source: RefSeq, a predicted model, not a curated record